This 965-nucleotide ribosomal RNA is filed under the name Psychrobacter sp. BTN21. RNAcentral's name for it is "bacterial SSU rRNA". It matches the Rfam family "Bacterial small subunit ribosomal RNA", at positions 60 to 1018 of the family's 1533-position model. Lineage: Bacteria; Pseudomonadati; Pseudomonadota; Gammaproteobacteria; Moraxellales; Moraxellaceae. The record is from RNAcentral.
AGUCGAGCGGUAACAUUUCUAGCUUGCUAGAAGAUGACGAGCGGCGGACGGGUGAGUAAUACUUAGGAAUCUACCUAGUAGUGGGGGAUAGCUCGGGGAAACUCGAAUUAAUACCGCAUACGACCUACGGGAGAAAGGGGGCAGUUUACUGCUCUCGCUAUUAGAUGAGCCUAAGUCGGAUUAGCUAGAUGGUGGGGUAAAGGCCUACCAUGGCGACGAUCUGUAGCUGGUCUGAGAGGAUGAUCAGCCACACCGGAACUGAGACACGGUCCGGACUCCUACGGGAGGCAGCAGUGGGGAAUAUUGGACAAUGGGGGCAACCCUGAUCCAGCCAUGCCGCGUGUGUGAAGAAGGCCUUUUGGUUGUAAAGCACUUUAAGCAGUGAAGAAGACUCCGUGGUUAAUACCCACGGACGAUGACAUUAGCUGCAGAAUAAGCACCGGCUAACUCUGUGCCAGCAGCCGCGGUAAUACAGAGGGUGCAAGCGUUAAUCGGAAUUACUGGGCGUAAAGCGAGCGUAGGUGGCUUGAUAAGUCAGAUGUGAAAUCCCCGGGCUUAACCUGGGAACUGCAUCUGAUACUGUUAGGCUAGAGUAGGUGAGAGGAAGGUAGAAUUCCAGGUGUAGCGGUGAAAUGCGUAGAGAUCUGGAGGAAUACCGAUGGCGAAGGCAGCCUUCUGGCAUCAUACUGACACUGAGGCUCGAAAGCGUGGGUAGCAAACAGGAUUAGAUACCCUGGUAGUCCACGCCGUAAACGAUGUCUACUAGUCGUUGGGUCCCUUGAGGACUUAGUGACGCAGCUAACGCAAUAAGUAGACCGCCUGGGGAGUACGGCCGCAAGGUUAAAACUCAAAUGAAUUGACGGGGGCCCGCACAAGCGGUGGAGCAUGUGGUUUAAUUCGAUGCAACGCGAAGAACCUUACCUGGUCUUGACAUAUCUAGAAUCCUGCAGAGAUGCGGGAGUGCC